This 370-nucleotide ribosomal RNA is filed under the name uncultured prokaryote. RNAcentral describes it as "bacterial SSU rRNA". It matches the Rfam family "Bacterial small subunit ribosomal RNA", at positions 524 to 896 of the family's 1533-position model. The record is from RNAcentral.
UACGUAGGAUCCAAGCGUUGUCCGGAUUUACUGGGUGUAAAGGGAGCGUAGGCGGAUUUUCAAGUCGAUGGUGAAAUCGUGCAGCUUAACUGUACAACUGCCUUCGAUACUGUAAAUCUUGAAUAUGGAAGAGGGUGACGGAAUUCAUGGUGUAGCAGUGAAAUGCGUAGAUAUCAUGAAGAACACCGGUAGCGAAGGCGGUCACCUGGUCCAUUAUUGACGCUCAGGCUCGAAAGCGUGGGGAGCAAACAGGAUUAGAUACCCUGGUAGUCCACGCCUUAAACGAUGAAUACUUGGUGUUGGGUCGCAAGACUCAGUGCCGAAGCUAACGCAUUAAGUAUUCCACCUGGGGAGUACGAUCGCAAGGUUG